This 428-nucleotide ribosomal RNA is filed under the name uncultured bacterium. RNAcentral's name for it is "bacterial SSU rRNA". It matches the Rfam family "Bacterial small subunit ribosomal RNA", at positions 356 to 776 of the family's 1533-position model. The record is from RNAcentral.
GGGGAAUUUUGGACAAUGGGCGAAAGCCUGAUCCAGCAAUGCCGCGUGAGUGAAGAAGGCCUUCGGGUUGUAAAGCUCUUUUGUCAGGGAAGAAACGGUGAGAGCUAAUAUCUCUUGCUAAUGACGGUACCUGAAGAAUAAGCACCGGCUAACUACGUGCCAGCAGCCGCGGUAAUACGUAGGGUGCAAGCGUUAAUCGGAAUUACUGGGCGUAAAGCGUGCGCAGGCGGUUUUGUAAGUCUGAUGUGAAAUCCCCGGGCUCAACCUGGGAAUUGCAUUGGAGACUGCAAGGCUAGAAUCUGGCAGAGGGGGGUAGAAUUCCACGUGUAGCAGUGAAAUGCGUAGAUAUGUGGAGGAACACCGAUGGCGAAGGCAGCCCCCUGGGUCAAGAUUGACGCUCAUGCACGAAAGCGUGGGGAGCAAACAGG